GGGCGAUCCCCCGUGUAAGAGUGAGGUGGAGGAGGACAUUCCAGGAGAUGUCACCACAGAAAAUCCCAGCAAGAAUUCUAUGGGGAAUUUCAUGGUAUCACCGGAUUAUAAAGCAGGAGAUGAAGAUAUCAUGCAGCAUCCUUCAGGAGAAAGCUUGAAUGUGCUUCUAGGACUUCAUAGUACAGAUCUCUCGUAUAAUGCCCCUAAUCAUGAGGAACCUUCUCCUAGCCAGUCACAAAUUGUUACUACAAGUACAGAUCAGAAAGGGCUUCAGCGUAGGAAACGGUUCCGAAAAAGCUCAGUUCUUUCUACAGACAGAAGAAUUCACACAGGAGAGAAACCAUAUUCAUGUCCAGAAUGUGGGAAAUGUUUUACACAGAAAUCAAGUCUUGGUAGACAUAAGAAAAUUCACACAGGAGAGAAGCCAUAUUCCUGUUCAGAAUGUGGGGAAUGUUUUAUAGUUAAAUCACGUCUUAGUAUACAUAAGAGAAUUCACACGGCAGCAAAACCAUAUUCAUGUUCAGAAUGUGGGAAAAGUUUUAGAGAUAAAUCAUAUCUUAGUGUACAUGAGCGAGUUCACACCGGAGCAAAACCAUAUUCAUGUUCAGAAUGUGGGAAAUGUUUUACACAGAAAUCAAAUCUACUUAAGCAUCAUAGACUUCACAUGGAAGCAAAACCAUUUUCAAAUGUUUUGACAUAACAGGUUAUGACCUGAUCUUAAAUAGAUAAUCAGAGAGUUUAUUUUUUGGUUGGAGUUAUCCUGGCUCUCCCAGAUGACUAAAUUCUAUUUUUCUGAGGUCAACUGUGACCGAGAUUCAUGGAGGAAAAGUAUUGUGGAUAUAAGGAGGAGAAGAAGAGCCUUGUUUACUUCCAGAGCAGUGAAGAUGAGCUGUCCCCAUGAACGUUGCUUCUUUUCACUAUAUUCACACCUCCACCCACACUGCGGUAGAGUCCAGAGUGACAUGGGGAGAAGUAACGACGCUCCAUGUAAUAGUUUUAUAAUGUAUGUGGACAUAUUAAUAUUUCAUCUUCAUACAAACAGUUUUUACAGAUAAAAUAAACACUUCUAUUUGCUCCACGGCAGCAUUACCAUUGUCACUGACAGACAUUGUGUUCUUGGCUCGUAUUAUACUUUCUCCUAGUGAUGUGACCUUUAUUGCUCCUACAGACUAACCCUCCUGUGCGGAGACAGUGAUAUUGGUGGCAUGAUGACUAUAUCUGUCACGGACGUACUGAGACAUACGAAUGUCCCCGCGACAGUGAGUGGUAGGAGAUCUUUUAGACUGGCAACACAUGGUUUGAUUUGACAUGUUUACCUUGUGGAUCAAUAGGCGUCUGUGUUGUUUCUGGUACUAGCCACACCCUUAACUUCCAGGUGUUGCUAUUGUGGUCAUUUAGCUU
Molecule: long non-coding RNA, 1401 nt
Organism: Bufo bufo (common toad)
Lineage: Eukaryota; Metazoa; Chordata; Amphibia; Anura; Bufonidae
Exons: 3
Source: RefSeq, a predicted model, not a curated record